RNAcentral lists this ribosomal RNA (253 nucleotides) under uncultured bacterium. Its description in RNAcentral is "partial 16S ribosomal RNA". It matches the Rfam family "Bacterial small subunit ribosomal RNA", at positions 524 to 776 of the family's 1533-position model. The record is from RNAcentral.
GACGUAGGGCGCGAGCGUUGUCCGGAUUUAUUGGGCGUAAAGAGCUCGUAGGCGGCUUGUUGCGUCGACUGUGAAAACCCGCGGCUUAACUGCGGGCUUGCAGUUGAUACGGGCAGGCUAGAGUUCGGUAGGGGAGACUGGAAUUCCUGGUGUAGCGGUGAAAUGCGCAGAUAUCAGGAGGAACACCGGUGGCGAAGGCGGGUCUCUGGGCCGAUAUUGACGCUGAGGAGCGAAAGCGUGGGGAGCGAACAGG